Small nucleolar RNA from Cynocephalus volans (Philippine flying lemur), 106 nucleotides. RefSeq annotates it as small nucleolar RNA U13. The record is from RefSeq and is a predicted model, not a curated record. NCBI's taxonomy places the organism in Eukaryota, Metazoa, Chordata, Mammalia, Dermoptera, Cynocephalidae. The transcript has a single exon.
AUCCUUUCUCGGUUCAUGAGCGUGAUGAUUGGGUUUUCCACGCUUUUGUGUGACAUGUGCCUCCCUGUAAAUCUUGUUACGACGUCGGCACAUUACCCUUCUGACG